Anser brachyrhynchus (Pink-footed goose) is the source of this 2388-nucleotide long non-coding RNA. NCBI's taxonomy places the organism in Eukaryota, Metazoa, Chordata, Aves, Anseriformes, Anatidae. The record is from Ensembl.
GGAGACCAAGGAGGUGACGCCACCGAAGAGACGUCACCACCGAGGAGGCCAAAGGUGAGGCCCCCGGGGAGGUGAGGCCAUCAAGGAGGCCACCGAGGAGGUGACACCACCGAGGAGGCCAAGGGGUGAGGCCACCGAGCGGGCGAGGCCGUCAGGGAGGCCGCCAAGGAGGUGACACCACCGAGGAGACCGAGGAGGUGACACCACCGAGGAGGCCAGGGAGGCGAGGCCGCCAAGGAGGUGACGCCACCGAGGAGGUCAAGGGGUGAGGCCGCCAGGGAGGCCGCCGAGGAGGUGACGCCACCAAGGAGGCCAAGGGGCGAGGCCACCGGGGAGGCGCCGCCAGCGAGGCCAGGCCGAGGCGGAUUUGGAGGCCGCCGAGGCGAACUGGAGGCCGUUGGAGGGGGGGAGGCCGCGGGGAAGGGAGGCCGCGGGCGCCCCCUAGAUGCGGAAGCUCUCCCCCUUGCCGUCGAUGUGGCGCAGGCGCAGGUAGACGUCGGUGCCCACGCCCUGCAGCGACUGGAGGCACAGCGAGCCCCCCAAGUACUCGGCGUAGGCGCGCGAGGUCGGCAGCCCGAAGCCGAACCUGGAGGCCGGGGAAGAGGGAGAAACGUCGGGCGGGGGGGGAGGGGAAUCGGGGGGAUUUGGGGGCGUCCCCCAGGGGGGUCGGGGUGACCCCGUACCCGUGCAUGGGGCAGGCCUGGGCGCCGUGGCUGAGGUCGAGGAGGUUGCGGAAGGGGCCUCCCAAGCGGGGGUCCUGGGCGCUGGCCUCGGCCGUGCUGAAGUGGUACUCGGUCACCUUGUCCAGGAGGUCGUGGGGGAUGCCCCCGCCCCGGUCCGAGAUCCUAUAUAGGGGACGGGGACGUAAAGGGAAAGGGGGAGGGGGGGGCAGCCUCCGCGGAGGAGGCCCUGAAAGGAUGGGGGCGGCCCGAGAGAGGGGGAAGGUCCUGUGGGGGCGGGGAGCGCCCUAUAGGUGCCGUGGGGGAAGGUCCUAUAGGGACGAGGACACUGUGGGAAUAUCCUAUAGGUGCCAUGGGGGAAGGUCCUAUAGGAACAGCAACGCUGUGGGAAUGUUCUAUAGGUGCCGUGGGGCAAGGUCCUAUAGGGACAGGGAUGCUGUGGGAAUAUCCUAUAGGUGCCGUGGGGGAAGGUCCUAUAGGGACAGGGACACUGUGGGAAUAUCCUAUAGGUAUCAUGGGGGAAAGUCCUAUAGGGACAGGGAUGCUGUGCAAAUAUCCUAUAGGUGCCAUGGGAGAAGGUCCUAUAGGGACAGGGGCGCUGUGGGAAUAUCCUAUAGGUGCCGUGGGGGAGGGUCCUAUAGGGACAGGGAUGCUAUGGGAAUAUCCUAUAGGUGCCAUGGGGAACAUCCUAUGGGGAAGGUCCUAUAGGGACAGGGAAGCUGUGGGGAAUGUUCUAUAGGUGCCAGGGGGGAAUGUCCUAUGGGGAUGGGAAUGCUGUGGGAAUAUCCUAUAGGUGCCAUGGGGGAACAUCCUAUGGGGACAAGGAUGCCAUGGGGAAAAGUCCUAUAGGUGCCAUAGGGAACGUCCUAUGGGGAUAAGAAAGCCACUGGGAAGGAACAUCCUAUAGGGACGCCAUGGGGAAUGUCCUAUAGGGGUACCAUGAGAAAUGUCCUAUAGGGAUCCCAUGGGAAACGUCCUAUAGGAACGCCACAGGGAACAUCCUAUAGAAGUGCCAUGGGGGACAUCCCAUAGGGACCCGCCGUAGACCCCUAUGGAUGUGGGGCGCCAUGGGGAAGAUCCUAUACGGGACCACCACAAAGAACAUCCCGUGGGACAUCACGGAGAACAUCCUAUAGGGACCAGGACACCAUGGAGAACAUCCUAUAGGGCCCCCAUGGAGAACAUCCUAUAGGGCCACCAUAAAGAACAUCCUAUAGGGACCCCCUACGGCUGUGGGGUGCCACGGAGAACGUCCCGUAUAGGGACACGGGGACUUCCCUGCGGACCCCCUAUAGGUGGGGACACCCUGGGGACCUUUAUGGACACGGGGACCCCCCGGGGACUCCCCCGGUCGACGAGGGCACCUCGGGGGGGUGCCUAUAGGCGGUGGGACGUUAUGGACAGCCCCUAUGGGACCCAGGUACCGGAUGACGAUGUCGAUGUCGUUGUUGGCGAUGGUGACGACGAUGUCGGGGACGUUGUAGGGCGUGUCGAGGUGCGACUCCAUCGUGGCCCUGCCGCAGCCCCACACGGUGGUGGCCCCUAUACAUCCCCCGGGGCCCCUAUACAUCCCCCGGGGCCCCUAUACGUCCCCCCGGCCCUAUACGUCCCCCUGGCCCUAUAUGUCCCCCAGGGCCCCAUGGGCCUCCCUUCUGGUCCUAUAUACCGCCCCCUGCCCCAUGUCCCUCCCACAGCCCCGUAUGGCCCC